RNAcentral lists this ribosomal RNA (302 nucleotides) under uncultured bacterium. RNAcentral's name for it is "partial 16S ribosomal RNA". It matches the Rfam family "Bacterial small subunit ribosomal RNA", at positions 508 to 807 of the family's 1533-position model. The record is from RNAcentral.
GCAGUAGCCGCGGUAACACAGAGGGUGCGAGCGUUAAUCGGAUUUACUGGGCGUAAAGGGCGCGUAGGCGGUUUGGCAAGUUUGGUGUGAAAUCUUCGGGCUCAACCCGAAGUCUGCACCGAAAACUGCCGGGCUUGAGUAUGGGAGAGGUGAGUGGAAUUUCCGGUGUAGCGGUGAAAUGCGUAGAUAUCGGAAGGAACACCUGUGGCGAAAGCGGCUCACUGGACCAUUACUGACGCUGAGGCGCGAAAGCUAGGGGAGCAAACAGGAUUAGAUACCCCCGUAGUCCCUGUCUCUUAUAC